Molecule: non-coding RNA, 29 nt
Filed under: Mus musculus (house mouse)
Lineage: Eukaryota; Metazoa; Chordata; Mammalia; Rodentia; Muridae
Source: RNAcentral
UGUAGGUGCUAACAGUUGUCACUGUGGUC